RNAcentral lists this ribosomal RNA (253 nucleotides) under uncultured bacterium. RNAcentral describes it as "partial 16S ribosomal RNA". It matches the Rfam family "Bacterial small subunit ribosomal RNA", at positions 524 to 776 of the family's 1533-position model. The record is from RNAcentral.
UACGAAGGGGGCUAGCGUUGCUCGGAAUCACUGGGCGUAAAGCGCACGUAGGCGGCUUUUUAAGUCAGGGGUGAAAUCCUGGAGCUCAACUCCAGAACUGCCUUUGAUACUGGGAAGCUUGAGUCCGGGAGAGGUGAGUGGAACUCCGAGUGUAGAGGUGAAAUUCGUAGAUAUUCGGAAGAACACCAGUGGCGAAGGCGGCUCACUGGACUGGUAUUGACGCUGAGGUGCGAAAGCGUGGGGAGCAAACAGG